RNAcentral lists this ribosomal RNA (253 nucleotides) under uncultured bacterium. RNAcentral describes it as "partial 16S ribosomal RNA". It matches the Rfam family "Bacterial small subunit ribosomal RNA", at positions 524 to 776 of the family's 1533-position model. The record is from RNAcentral.
UACAUAGGGUGCAAGCGUUGUCCGGAAUUAUUGGGCGUAAAGAGCUUGUAGGCGGUUUGUCGCGUCUGCUGUGAAAUUUCGGGGCUCAACCCCGAACUUGCAGUGGGUACGGGCAGACUAGAGUGUGGUAGGGGAGACUGGAAUUCCUGGUGUAGCGGUGAAAUGCGCAGAUAUCAGGAGGAACACCGAUGGCGAAGGCAGGUCUCUGGGCCAUACCUGACGCUGAGGAGCGAAAGCGUGGGGAGCAAACAGG